AACUGCUCCAGCACCAGCAGCUCCAGGAUCUGCUCCUUGCUGUGCAUAUCUGGCCGCAGCCACUGUCUGCAGAGCUCCCGGAGCCGGCUCAGCGCCUGCCGGGGCCCAGCGGCCUCGGGGUAGCGGAAAGCGCGGAAGCGCUGGCGGGAGCGGUCGGGCCCAGGGCUGCCCAGCCAACUGGCCUCCUCUGCCAAGGGGGAGGCCUCUUCCUGUUCCACCUUUAUGACCAGUAACUCCAUCUGGUCCUCUGCAGAGUGCGAGUCCAGGGUUGUGCUUUCCCUUGAUUCUCUAGCCAUCCCGCGCCAAGUCGUUCUUCCGUUUCACUGUAGCUCUGAGUUGUAUUUCUGCAAAAGACUACUGAGAGGUGGAGAUGACUAUGAGCCACUUGUAGUUGCAAAUGCUCCCCUCCUCCUAUGCCCAGGACCCCGGGGAAGCUGCCAUGGAACAACUGAGGAGAUCCUCUUGUUCAAACGCCUCUGUAGCUUUUCAUUCUGUACCAUCUCGGGGGACUUAGAUAUCAACUACGAAUAUCUGUGAGGGUGUUCUGGAGAGGCUAAACUUAAGUCAGAAGACCCACCGUGACUGUGGGUGGCCUCAUUCCACGGGCUCCGGUCCCACACAUAAAGGAGAGCGUCCGUGGAACAGCAGCAUUCAUCUCUGCUGCCUGACUACAGACAGAACGCGAGUCGCUGCCGCCAUGUUGAACUGCACGGUCAAACUGCCAACCAAGAGAAGCCCUUGCUAGGCUUGCUCCUGUUGAGGGCUUUGUCAUGGCAGCGACAAAGUACCCGACAUGACUAGACCCGAGAAGAGAGGCCGCUGCUGUGACACACUUGACCGUGUGUUUCUUAUCUAUGGACUGGUUUAUGGAGAGGAAGGCCAGAGUUUGGAGCUGUAGACUAAUGCCCUAGAUGGAUGAAACUUAGAAACCAGAGGAGGUAGUCGACUGGUUAAGAAGCUGCCCUGAGCAAGGACUAUUAGCCACAGCCAGCAGAACUGAUCUAACACCAAAUCCACCUGCUUUACGCUCUGCAAAGGUGCCUUAAGGAAACUACAUGCCAACUUUAGCUGCUUGCUGUGAAAACGUAAUUCCAGUUCAGAAGGCACUAUUCAGCUGUGACUGUUUAGUUGAUGCAGCAGAUUUUUAAGCAUCACACGCCUUGGUGAACUCUGGUAGCCAUUUUCACCCAGGCAGAGGGCAAGCGCUUUCUCUGGUGACCCAACAAAAGGACCAUCCUGUUAUUGGUGCAAACAGUUCUUGCAUCAAAACACCAUUACAUCGUUCUGGCUAUAAAGCAGGCCGUUCAGCUUCCUGUUUCUGUCAGCCAGGAAAUACCCCCUCAUACACUUUCAUGGGAUUAUCUGUUUGUAGGGCCCUGCUUGCCCUGUUGUCCACGUGACUGCAGACUUAGGACCAUGAUUGAAGACUUUCAGGUGCCAUUUCAGGAUCCGCGAUAAGAAAUGGCAAAGGCUGGCCAUAAGUAUUUCUAUUACUCUCACACGUGUGGCUUCAACCUUGAUGGGGGAUGAGUAUCAUCAAGUUUUAGACGGAACCUACUUAAAUGAUUAUCAUACCUAUUUGCAGAGUUGAGCAGGGACUGAUGUAGAGACAUACGAAAUGAAGGCAGAGAUGGCAGGCUUUUACCGUGGGUUAAGGGACCUCGUGAGUCCAGUGAAGACUACUUUUCAGCAAGGCAGUUUCUACGCUACCUGCUAGGCACACAGGGAAUUUACUCCUCUGAUCGACUUACAAAUAUUUAUUCUAAUUCAUUUAAUUCUCGAAUGCAAGUCAGUCCUUCACAGUUACUUGCCUACACACUCUUCUUCUAGAGUUUGAGAUUCCAGAAGAGAAAUACAGAAGGAUUUAGGAGAAAAAAAAACCCCAAACAAACAAACAAACAAACAACAAC
Peromyscus eremicus (cactus mouse) is the source of this 1910-nucleotide long non-coding RNA. RefSeq lists it as uncharacterized. The record is from RefSeq and is a predicted model, not a curated record. The transcript is spliced from 3 exons. NCBI's taxonomy places the organism in Eukaryota, Metazoa, Chordata, Mammalia, Rodentia, Cricetidae.